Long non-coding RNA from Toxorhynchites rutilus septentrionalis, 4285 nucleotides. RefSeq lists it as uncharacterized. NCBI's taxonomy places the organism in Eukaryota, Metazoa, Arthropoda, Insecta, Diptera, Culicidae. The record is from RefSeq and is a predicted model, not a curated record. The transcript has 3 exons.
UUGUUACAUCUUCAAUUUUGAACGUGUUCAACCUAAUCCUGUGUUUAAGGAAUAAAUAUACAAACUUUGAGCAAAAUCAGAGUAUUUUUUUCGAUAUAAAUUGAAAGAUAAUUAAGCUUCUACUAGCAAUAGCUGCUCAAUCGAAAAACUGCAUCAACAUUUCGGCUUCCCAUAAAACCCAAUCGCAGUUAAAUUGACAUUUUGCAAUACAGUUAUAAAUAACGCUCCGAUAUCGGCGAGUGCGGCAAAAAAGCAGCACUUCUUUCUCCGUUCACUUAUGGUGCGUUCCCAUCAACGCGGUUAACAGUCAUCGUCUGCUCCUUUGGUAUCCACCCACACAACACAAUCAUAUUCAUCACAUUUCGAUCAUUGUAGCGUGGUACUGGUUUCGACAUUUGGAAGCCCCUCGUUUAGUUAUUUUGAAGUUCAGAUUCUACACCAGCUCACUUGUGUGAAUCGGAGCCUCUCUCUUCUUUCAAUGUAUUGGAUGUAAGGCAACGCGAGUGCCGCUCCUCUUUUUAGAUUUGAGCAACUUGGCAUAAUGGGUGCUGGAUGUGAUUCGACGGCUGUGUUUUAGCCAAGACACCCAAAUACCAAUACACCCGAAAGACUCAUGCUUUCCUUUUUUCAUUUUUUUCGUUUGGAUAUUUCCCCCAAAUAGCAGAGUCUUUCGGCGGAGGUUUUCUUGUUCUUGGAACCUCAAAAACCCGGCAAGCGAUUCGAUUUGAACUGCGCUCGGGAGGUUAAAGGUGAUCGCCCGAGAAUAUUUGAAUAUGAGACCGAUGUAGGGACAAGGGAACUUGGCAUGACUUGCGUGAUUAUUAACUUCGUUAAUAAUUACGCAGUUCCGGUCCUAUUGAUUAGUACGCUGAUCUGAGGACUAAAAAUUAUGUUCUUCCAUUUCAACGUGGACCGUGGAAGAGGUCGGAGUGGUGUUAUUUUCUUGAACCGCGAAUUUCACAAAAGGUAGUUGGUGUUUUAAUUAUCGCGAGUUAGUUGUGCUCAUUAGUGUUCUUUUUUUUUUUGUUCAAAUUUUGUUAGCUGGAUAGUCGAUAGAUUUAGGCCAAGUUGAAGUUGUACCCUCCCGUGCAUCCGUUAAAUACAUCCGGAGGUAAGAAUGGCAUUGUGGUUUGGCUCAUGUGGCGUAAUUUUGAAUGGUUCUUGUGUGUGCUUUUCGUGUAACCUCUUUAGGAAGCGCCGCUACUGACCCCACGGAGUCAACGUUGGAAUUGACCAAAAUCCAGCCAAGGCUCAAACCUUUCCGCCUGGUUCGAAGACUGCGCUGCGCGAACAAUACUGGCAGCCGCAACAGGCGUAAACCGGAAGUUAGGACCGCUCAUCGCACGCCCAGCUAGGAGUAGAACCCGUCGACGUAGCGAAUCACAUAAAUCCAUGGUAGUGAGUACCUUUUUUCCUUAUCCAUUAUUAACAUGCGCAUGUAGGAUAAGUGAUAUUGAGCAAAACGCUAUAAAUAGCUACUAACCACGAAAGCCACACAAUUCAAAGCCAUACACACACAAAUAAUGCAUGCAGUGGAGAGCUCACUCCAUAUGACUGUGUAAUUUCAAUCGCUAUAAGCGAAGCCAUUCAUGAAUAGCCUAACGGAGUAAAUAGCAAGCGCGCCGUCUUCUCAACCUAGAUGUGAUGAGAUCGAGACUUGGGAGGAAAAUUAGAGUAGAGUAAUGAAAUUUGAUUAAUGUUCUUAGAGUAAAUAAAUUUUCUAUGUUGAUGGAUGUUCUUUCCUGAUUGACUAAAUGUUCAAUGUAGAAGAGAAGUGUUGAUGAAGCUAAUUGAUUUAAGUGAUUGAGAAUGUUGUGAGAGAUGUUUUGAUAUUUAAUGUAGUGUAAAAUAAACUUUUCCGUUCGAUUUAUAUGUUAAGGUCUAAGAAACAAAUGUGUAUUUACUGGCUCGCGGUGGCCUAAACACCGACGAACCCGUUCACUCUUCUUUUUGUGUUAAUUAGGUCACGAGUCAGGGUGGAGACUCCUUUUUUUGUUUACUUCCACUCUCACUCCUACGCUCCGAAGCGAGCUCUGAAGUUGAGGGGAAGAUCAUUAUUAGUAGGUCCAGUGAGGAGACCUCAGCAUAAGUGGUAGUCAGUGGGAUCGACCCAGACUUCCUUGUGUCUGCAUUACGUCUCGUGGACAAACGAUAUCGCGGGUUCUCCCGAGAGUGCAGGAAAAAAGUCGCGAAGCUAACCGGGUUGGUGAGGAGAAAAGGACAAACCCGCCCUCAGUGGGUGUCUCAUUGCCGGGCAAGGAAAAUAACACGGCGGUCGGUCUCCCUCACGGGAGUGGCGCUUAAGCCGACCGCUUAUCUGCGCAAAUUCCCCGGUAGCGACGGGCUCGCGCGCCCCCCCGGCGUCGCGGGUUACAUUUGAAGAUGUAGCGUGGUACUGGUUUCGACAUUUGGAAGCCCCUCGUUUAGUUAUUUUGAAGUUCAGAUUCUACACCAGCUCACUUGUGUGAAUCGGAGCCUCUCUCUUCUUUCAAUGUAUUGGAUGUAAGGCAACGCGAGUGCCGCUCCUCUUUUUAGAUUUGAGCAACUUGGCAUAAUGGGUGCUGGAUGUGAUUCGACGGCUGUGUUUUAGCCAAGACACCCAAAUACCAAUACACCCGAAAGACUCAUGCUUUCCUUUUUUCAUUUUUUUCGUUUGGAUAUUUCCCCCAAAUAGCAGAGUCUUUCGGCGGAGGUUUUCUUGUUCUUGGAACCUCAAAAACCCGGCAAGCGAUUCGAUUUGAACUGCGCUCGGGAGGUUAAAGGUGAUCGCCCGAGAAUAUUUGAAUAUGAGACCGAUGUAGGGACAAGGGAACUUGGCAUGACUUGCGUGAUUAUUAACUUCGUUAAUAAUUACGCAGUUCCGGUCCUAUUGAUUAGUACGCUGAUCUGAGGACUAAAAAUUAUGUUCUUCCAUUUCAACGUGGACCGUGGAAGAGGUCGGAGUGGUGUUAUUUUCUUGAACCGCGAAUUUCACAAAAGCUGGAUAGUCGAUAGAUUUAGGCCAAGUUGAAGUUGUACCCUCCCGUGCAUCCGUUAAAUACAUCCGGAGGAAGCGCCGCUACUGACCCCACGGAGUCAACGUUGGAAUUGACCAAAAUCCAGCCAAGGCUCAAACCUUUCCGCCUGGUUCGAAGACUGCGCUGCGCGAACAAUACUGGCAGCCGCAACAGGCGUAAACCGGAAGUUAGGACCGCUCAUCGCACGCCCAGCUAGGAGUAGAACCCGUCGACGUAGCGAAUCACAUAAAUCCAUGGUAGUGAGUACCUUUUUUCCUUAUCCAUUAUUAACAUGCGCAUGUAGGAUAAGUGAUAUUGAGCAAAACGCUAUAAAUAGCUACUAACCACGAAAGCCACACAAUUCAAAGCCAUACACACACAAAUAAUGCAUGCAGUGGAGAGCUCACUCCAUAUGACUGUGUAAUUUCAAUCGCUAUAAGCGAAGCCAUUCAUGAAUAGCCUAACGGAGUAAAUAGCAAGCGCGCCGUCUUCUCAACCUAGAUGUGAUGAGAUCGAGACUUGGGAGGAAAAUUAGAGUAGAGUAAUGAAAUUUGAUUAAUGUUCUUAGAGUAAAUAAAUUUUCUAUGUUGAUGGAUGUUCUUUCCUGAUUGACUAAAUGUUCAAUGUAGAAGAGAAGUGUUGAUGAAGCUAAUUGAUUUAAGUGAUUGAGAAUGUUGUGAGAGAUGUUUUGAUAUUUAAUGUAGUGUAAAAUAAACUUUUCCGUUCGAUUUAUAUGUUAAGGUCUAAGAAACAAAUGUGUAUUUACUGGCUCGCGGUGGCCUAAACACCGACGAACCCGUUCACUCUUCUUUUUGUGUUAAUUAGGUCACGAGUCAGGGUGGAGACUCCUUUUUUUGUUUACUUCCACUCUCACUCCUACGCUCCGAAGCGAGCUCUGAAGUUGAGGGGAAGAUCAUUAUUAGUAGGUCCAGUGAGGAGACCUCAGCAUAAGUGGUAGUCAGUGGGAUCGACCCAGACUUCCUUGUGUCUGCAUUACGUCUCGUGGACAAACGAUAUCGCGGGUUCUCCCGAGAGUGCAGGAAAAAAGUCGCGAAGCUAACCGGGUUGGUGAGGAGAAAAGGACAAACCCGCCCUCAGUGGGUGUCUCAUUGCCGGGCAAGGAAAAUAACACGGCGGUCGGUCUCCCUCACGGGAGUGGCGCUUAAGCCGACCGCUUAUCUGCGCAAAUUCCCCGGUAGCGACGGGCUCGCGCGCCCCCCCGGCGUCGCGGGUUACAUUUGGCGCCCAACGUGGUUUUUGGCACGACAUUUGAUGUCAUUGGAAAAUAA